AACGAACGCUGGCGGCAUGCCUAACACAUGCAAGUCGAACGAGACCUUCGGGUCUAGUGGCGCACGGGUGCGUAACGCGUGGGAACCUGCCCUUAGGUUCGGAAUAACUCCCCGAAAGGGGUGCUAAUACCGGAUAAUGUCUUCGGACCAAAGAUUUAUCGCCUUUGGAUGGGCCCGCGUUGGAUUAGCUAGUUGGUAGGGUAAAAGCCUACCAAGGCGACGAUCCAUAGCUGGUCUGAGAGUAUGAUCAGCCACACUGGGACCGAGACACGGCCCAGACUCCUACGGGAGGCAGCAGUGGGGAAUAUUGGACAAUGGGCGAAAGCCUGAUCCAGCAAUGCCGCGUGAGUGAUGAAGGCCUUAGGGUUGUAAAGCUCUUUUACCCGGGAUGAUAAUGACAGUACCGGGAGAAUAAGCUCCGGCUAACUCCGUG
RNAcentral lists this ribosomal RNA (433 nucleotides) under uncultured bacterium. RNAcentral describes it as "partial 16S ribosomal RNA". It matches the Rfam family "Bacterial small subunit ribosomal RNA", at positions 29 to 507 of the family's 1533-position model. The record is from RNAcentral.